AACGAACGCUGGCGGCGGGCCUAACACAUGCAAGUCGAACGCUCGUAGCAAUACGAGAGUGGCAGACGGGUGAGUAACACGUGGGAACCUUCCCUAUGGUUCGGAAUAGCCCAGGGGAAACUUGGGGUAAUACCGGAUAAGCCCUUCGGGGAAAGAUUUAUCGCCAUUGGAUGGGCCCGCGUCGGAUUAGCUAGUUGGUGGGGUAACGGCCUACCAAGGCGACGAUCCGUAGCUGGUCUGAGAGGAUGAUCAGCCACACUGGGACUGAGACACGGCCCAGACUCCUACGGGAGGCAGCAGUGGGGAAUAUUGGACAAUGGGCGCAAGCCUGAUCCAGCCAUGCCGCGUGAGUGACGAAGGUCUUCGGAUUGUAAAACUCUUUGGCGGGACGAUAAUGACGGUACCCGCAGAAUAA
This 415-nucleotide ribosomal RNA is filed under the name uncultured bacterium. RNAcentral describes it as "bacterial SSU rRNA". It matches the Rfam family "Bacterial small subunit ribosomal RNA", at positions 29 to 489 of the family's 1533-position model. The record is from RNAcentral.